This 69-nucleotide transfer RNA is filed under the name Rhizothera longirostris. RNAcentral's name for it is "tRNA-Ala". It matches the Rfam family "tRNA". From Rfam's summary of the family: Transfer RNA (tRNA) molecules are approximately 80 nucleotides in length. Their secondary structure includes four short double-helical elements and three loops (D, anti-codon, and T loops). The record is from RNAcentral. Lineage: Eukaryota; Metazoa; Chordata; Aves; Galliformes; Phasianidae.
AAGGCUUUAGCUUAAUUAAAGCAUCUGGUUUGCAGUCAGAAGAUACAGGCUAGUGUCCUGUCAGUCUUA